UGCCUGGUAGCAGUGUUUAGGAUCAGUAACCAUCUCGACUCACUGAAAGACAGACAAUUGCAAUAGCUAAUUAUGUCUGAAGGAAUAGUCUAUGCUGAUGUAAAGUUCAAAAAGCAACAAAGGACUGAAGGAAAAAAUUGUGCAACAGCAUCCACAGUGAAUGAUACCACACACUCUGAAAUCUCCAUUUCCAGAACCGGAUGCAACCAGCCAUCUAUCGACCCUAAUGCUGGUGACCCUGAUUCUCAGGAGGGGUCAAAGGUCAAACCAAGUGGAUAUGACCCUGUCAGAGUUGUUCUGGUGACUCUCUGUGUUCUUCUGAUGGGUGCUGUCAUUGGACUUGGGG
Salvelinus namaycush (lake trout) is the source of this 346-nucleotide long non-coding RNA. RefSeq lists it as uncharacterized. NCBI's taxonomy places the organism in Eukaryota, Metazoa, Chordata, Actinopteri, Salmoniformes, Salmonidae. The transcript is spliced from 3 exons. The record is from RefSeq and is a predicted model, not a curated record.